AAAUCAUCUUUAUUGCACUAAAUGCUGUUUAACAAUUUACUUAGCUUACAGCAUUGGGCUAAGUUUCCCUGUGUAUUUAAAAUUAUUAUAUAUCCAGGGAGAAUAUAUAAUAAAAUAUAUAUAAAUGUUAGUAUUAUACAAUUAAACAUAAUACAUAAUAUAAAUAAACGUCAAUAUAAACUGAUUCAUUGAUUUUUUUGUCUGCUUACAAAUCGGAAAAAAUAACGGAUCUUCACCGUUACAUUUUGUGAUUAUUAUGUGUGUUUACUUUCUCACAGGAUACCUGUGUAAUUGGAAUUUACUUAUUCUUUUAUAAUUUGAAGGAUUUAUUUUUCAAACUUACAUGCUUGACCAUGUUAAUGGAAAUACAUAUAUAGUUUGCUGUAGUCCCUUAGAAUUGACUGUACAGAUGUGAAGUUUUGGAUCAGCCAUGAUUGUUAUUAUUAAAAGGAAAUAUAUGCUAUGGUUUACUGUAUGAGCUGCACUAUUUCUAUUUUCCAAUUUGGACUCGACUAUGCACAUCAUUUAAAUACGAAAUAUGAGCAUAUGUGUAGCUGCAUACGUGAUUCUGGAUUUGUACACCGGUUGUCAAUUUACUAUUCAUUUUUGGUGUACAAAAGUGUGUUCUUUGCAUAUCUGUGUACAGUAUUGAAAAGUGAUAUAUGUAAUUAUUUUGUGAUCUAAGAAGAAUCAUUUUAAGGCACAUCUGGAUCAAUUGGAGCUGUGGUGAGGAAAGUGCAAACUUUAAAUAAAGUAUGUAAUUCACCAGAGAUACUAAUUGUGGAAUGUAUGUGAACUUACUACUACAUGUAUAUAGAGUGGUACUUUGUUCAACUUUGCUGUGAAUGAGUUUUGUUACAAGUGUCAUCAUGAUCAUACAAAAAAUAAAUAUCACUGCACAUGUAUUACAGUAUAAUAUUAAAUUAGUGUUGCAUUUA
Molecule: long non-coding RNA, 938 nt
Organism: Mytilus californianus (California mussel)
Lineage: Eukaryota; Metazoa; Mollusca; Bivalvia; Mytilida; Mytilidae
Exons: 3
Source: RefSeq, a predicted model, not a curated record